UACGAUACGAGUUUGAUCAUGGCUCAGGAUGAACGCUAGCGGCAGGCCUAACACAUGCAAGUCGAGGGGUAUAGUUCUUCGGAACUAGAGACCGGCGCACGGGUGCGUAACGCGUAUGCAAUCUACCUUUUACAGGGGAAUAGCCCAGAGAAAUUUGGAUUAAUGCCCCAUAGUGUUAUAGAAUCGCAUGGUUUUAUAACUAAAGUUCCAACGGUAAAAGAUGAGCAUGCGUCCCAUUAGUUAGUUGGUAAGGUAACGGCUUACCAAGACAAUGAUGGGUAGGGGUCCUGAGAGGGAGAUCCCCCACACUGGUACUGAGACACGGACCAGACUCCUACGGGAGGCAGCAGUGAGGAAUAUUGGACAAUGGGCGCAAGCCUGAUCCAGCCAUGCCGCGUGCAGGAAGACGGUCCUAUGGAUUGUAAACUGCUUUUGUACAGGAAGAAACACUCCCUCGUGAGGGAGCUUGACGGUACUGUAAGAAUAAGGAUCGGCUAACUCCGUG
RNAcentral lists this ribosomal RNA (505 nucleotides) under uncultured bacterium. Its description in RNAcentral is "bacterial SSU rRNA". It matches the Rfam family "Bacterial small subunit ribosomal RNA", at positions 1 to 507 of the family's 1533-position model. The record is from RNAcentral.